AGAUAAUUAAAUCAACAAAAUUAUUUGCCAGAGAACUACUAGCAAUAGCUUAAAACUCAAAGGACUUGGCGGUGCUUUAUACCCCUCUAGAGGAGCCUGUUCUAUAAUCGAUAAACCCCGAUAAACCUCACCACUUCUUGCUAAAUCAGUCUAUAUACCGCCAUCCUCAGCAAACCCUUUAAAGGGAGAAAAGUAAGCACAAUAAUUAGCGCGUAAAAAAGUUAGGUCAAGGUGUAACCUAUGGAGUGGGAAGAAAUGGGCUACAUUUUCUGAACAAGAACAUCACACACGAAAGCCUCCAUGAAAUUGGAAGCCAAAGGUGGAUUUAGUAGUAAAUCGAGAAUAGAGAG
Molecule: ribosomal RNA, 350 nt
Filed under: Potos flavus (kinkajou)
Lineage: Eukaryota; Metazoa; Chordata; Mammalia; Carnivora; Procyonidae
Description: partial 12S ribosomal RNA
Rfam family: Bacterial small subunit ribosomal RNA
Source: RNAcentral